RNAcentral lists this ribosomal RNA (277 nucleotides) under uncultured bacterium. RNAcentral describes it as "partial 16S ribosomal RNA". It matches the Rfam family "Bacterial small subunit ribosomal RNA", at positions 28 to 308 of the family's 1533-position model. The record is from RNAcentral.
GAUGAACGCUAGCGGCAUGCUUAACACAUGCAAGUCGAACGAGACAUUUCAUUUCGGUGGUAUGUCUAGUGGCGGACGGGUGAGUAACGCGUAAGAACCUACCUUUAGGAGAGGGAUACCAGCUGGAAACGGUUGCUAAUACCUCGUAUGCUGAGAAGUGAAAGGUGAUGCCAAAGGCAAACACCGCCUAGAGAGGGGCUUGCGUCUGAUUAGCUUGUUGGUGAGGUAAAGGCUUACCAAGGCUAUGAUCAGUAGCUGGUCUGAGAGGACAAACAGC